GACGAACGCUGGCGGCGUGCUUAACACAUGCAAGUCGAACGGAAAGGCCCUGCUUUUGUGGGGUGCUCGAGUGGCGAACGGGUGAGUAACACGUGAGUAACCUGCCCUUGACUUUGGGAUAACUUCAGGAAACUGGGGCUAAUACCGGAUAGGAGCUCCUGCUGCAUGGUGGGGGUUGGAAAGUUUCGGCGGUUGGGGAUGGACUCGCGGCUUAUCAGCUUGUUGGUGGGGUAGUGGCUUACCAAGGCUUUGACGGGUAGCCGGCCUGAGGGGGUGACCGGCCACAUUGGGACUGAGAUACGGCCCGGACUCCUACGGGAGGCAGCAGUGGGGAAUAUUGCACAAUGGGCGGAAGCCUGAUGCAGCAACGCCGCGUGCGGGAUGACGGCCUUCGGGUUGUAAACCGCUUUCGCCUGUGACGAAGCGUGAGUGACGGUAAUGGGUAAAGAAGCACCGGCUAACUACGUG
Molecule: ribosomal RNA, 468 nt
Filed under: uncultured bacterium
Lineage: Bacteria
Description: partial 16S ribosomal RNA
Rfam family: Bacterial small subunit ribosomal RNA
Source: RNAcentral